RNAcentral lists this ribosomal RNA (222 nucleotides) under uncultured bacterium. Its description in RNAcentral is "partial 16S ribosomal RNA". It matches the Rfam family "Bacterial small subunit ribosomal RNA", at positions 99 to 334 of the family's 1533-position model. The record is from RNAcentral.
CGCACGGGUGAGUAACACGUGACUAACCUACCCUCGAGUGGGGAAUAACCUAAGAGAAAUCUGGGCUAAUACCGCAUAACACUUACGAGUCAAAGCAGCAAUGCGCUUGAGGAGGGGGUCGCGGCAGAUUAGCUAGUUGGCGGGGUAAUGGCCCACCAAGGCAAUGAUCUGUAUCCGGCCUGAGAGGGCGCACGGACACACUGGAACUGAAACACGGUCCAG